GAUGAACGCUGGCGGCGUGCCUAAUACAUGCAAGUCGAGCGAACGGACGAGAAGCUUGCUUCUCUGAUGUUAGCGGCGGACGGGUGAGCAACACGUGGAUAACCUACCUAUAAGACUGGGAUAACUUCGGGAAACCGUAGCUAAUACCGGAUAAUAUUUUGAACCGCAUGGUUCAAAAGUGAAAGACGGCCUUGCUGUCACUUAUAGAUGGAUCCGCGCUGCAUUAGCUAGUUGGUAAGGUAACGGCUUACCAAGGCAACGAUGCAUAGCCGACCUGAGAGGGUGAUCGGCCACACUGGAACUGAGACACGGUCCAGACUCCUACGGGAGGCAGCAGUAGGGAAUCUUCCGCAAUGGGCGAAAGCCUGACGGAGCAACGCCGCGUGAGUGAUGAAGGUCUUCGGAUCGUAAAACUCUGUUAUUAGGGAAGAACAUAUGUGUAAGUAACUGUGCACAUCUUGACGGUACCUAAUCAGAAAGCCACGGCUAACUACGUGCCAGCAGCCGCGGUAAUACGUAGGUGGCAAGCGUUAUCCGGAAUUAUUGGGCGUAAAGCGCGCGUAGGCGGUUUUUUAAGUCUGAUGUGAAAGCCCACGGCUCAACCGUGGAGGGUCAUUGGAAACUGGAAAACUUGAGUGCAGAAGAGGAAAGUGGAAUUCCAUGUGUAGCGGUGAAAUGCGCAGAGAUAUGGAGGAACACCAGUGGCGAAGGCGACUUUCUGGUCUGUAACUGACGCUGAUGUGCGAAAGCGUGGGGAUCAAACAGGAUUAGAUACCCUGGUAGUCCACGCCGUAAACGAUGAGUGCUAAGUGUUAGGGGGUUUCCGCCCCUUAGUGCUGCAGCUAACGCAUUAAGCACUCCGCCUGGGGAGUACGACCGCAAGGUUGAAACUCAAAGGAAUUGACGGGGACCCGCACAAGCGGUGGAGCAUGUGGUUUAAUUCGAAGCAACGCGAAGAACCUUACCAAAUCUUGACAUCCUUUGACAACUCUAGAGAUAGAGCCUUCCCCUUCGGGGGACAAAGUGACAGGUGGUGCAUGGUUGUCGUCAGCUCGUGUCGUGAGAUGUUGGGUUAAGUCCCGCAACGAGCGCAACCCUUAAGCUUAGUUGCCAUCAUUAAGUUGGGCACUCUAAGUUGACUGCCGGUGACAAACCGGAGGAAGGUGGGGAUGACGUCAAAUCAUCAUGCCCCUUAUGAUUUGGGCUACACACGUGCUACAAUGGACAAUACAAAGGGCAGCGAAACCGCGAGGUCAAGCAAAUCCCAUAAAGUUGUUCUCAGUUCGGAUUGUAGUCUGCAACUCGACUACAUGAAGCUGGAAUCGCUAGUAAUCGUAGAUCAGCAUGCUACGGUGAAUACGUUCCCGGGUCU
RNAcentral lists this ribosomal RNA (1372 nucleotides) under uncultured bacterium. RNAcentral's name for it is "bacterial SSU rRNA". It matches the Rfam family "Bacterial small subunit ribosomal RNA", at positions 28 to 1381 of the family's 1533-position model. The record is from RNAcentral.